UGGGGCAUCGUUCAACGGCAGGACUCGGGCUUUUGGUGCCCGCUAUCCAGGUUCGAAUCCUGGUGCCCCAGCCA
RNAcentral lists this transfer RNA (74 nucleotides) under Coriobacteriia bacterium. RNAcentral's name for it is "tRNA-Gln". It matches the Rfam family "tRNA". From Rfam's summary of the family: Transfer RNA (tRNA) molecules are approximately 80 nucleotides in length. Their secondary structure includes four short double-helical elements and three loops (D, anti-codon, and T loops). Further hydrogen bonds mediate the characteristic L-shaped molecular structure. tRNAs have two regions of fundamental functional importance: the anti-codon, which is responsible for specific mRNA codon recognition, and the 3' end, to which the tRNAs corresponding amino acid is attached (by aminoacyl-tRNA synthetases). tRNAs cope with the degeneracy of the genetic code in two manners: having more than one tRNA (with a specific anti-codon) for a particular amino acid; and 'wobble' base-pairing, i.e. permitting non-standard base-pairing at the 3rd anti-codon position. Lineage: Bacteria; Bacillati; Actinomycetota; Coriobacteriia. The record is from RNAcentral.